GCCCCCAUGGCCUAAUGGAUAAGGCGCUUGACUUCUAAUCAAGCGAUUGUGGGUA
This 55-nucleotide transfer RNA is filed under the name Ipomoea nil (Japanese morning glory). It matches the Rfam family "tRNA", at positions 1 to 53 of the family's 71-position model. Rfam says of the family: Transfer RNA (tRNA) molecules are approximately 80 nucleotides in length. Their secondary structure includes four short double-helical elements and three loops (D, anti-codon, and T loops). Further hydrogen bonds mediate the characteristic L-shaped molecular structure. tRNAs have two regions of fundamental functional importance: the anti-codon, which is responsible for specific mRNA codon recognition, and the 3' end, to which the tRNAs corresponding amino acid is attached (by aminoacyl-tRNA synthetases). tRNAs cope with the degeneracy of the genetic code in two manners: having more than one tRNA (with a specific anti-codon) for a particular amino acid; and 'wobble' base-pairing, i.e. permitting non-standard base-pairing at the 3rd anti-codon position. Lineage: Eukaryota; Viridiplantae; Streptophyta; Magnoliopsida; Solanales; Convolvulaceae. The record is from Rfam by way of RNAcentral.